RNAcentral lists this ribosomal RNA (459 nucleotides) under uncultured bacterium. RNAcentral describes it as "bacterial SSU rRNA". It matches the Rfam family "Bacterial small subunit ribosomal RNA", at positions 340 to 789 of the family's 1533-position model. The record is from RNAcentral.
UACGGAAGGCAGCAGUGGGGAAUAUUGCACAAUGGGCGAAAGCCUGAUGCAGCUAUGCCGCGUGUAUGAAGAAGGCCUUAGGGUUGUAAAGUACUUUCAUCGGGGAGGAAAAAACAAAACUAAUAAUUUUAUUUCUUGACGUUACCUGAAAAAGAAGCACCGGCUAACUCCGUGCCAGCAGCCGCGGUAAUACGGAGGGUGCUAGCGUUAAUCAGAAUUACUGGGCGUAAAGAGCACGUAGGUGGUUUUUUUAAGUCAGAUGUGAAAUCCCUGGGCUUAACCUGGAACUGCAUUUUGAAACUGAAAUACUAGAGUAUCGUAGAGGGAGGUAGAAUUCUAGGUGUAGCGGUGAAAUGCGUAGAUAUCUGGAGGAAUACCUGUGGCGAAAGCGGGCCUCCUAAACGAAUACUGACACUGAGGUGCGAAAGCGUGGGGAGCAAACAGGGAUUAGAUACCCGU